GACGAACGCUGGCGGCGUGCUUAACACAUGCAAGUCGAACGGAAGGGCCCGGCGUUUGUUUGUUUCUCGAUUGGCGAGCGGGGGAGUGACACGUGAGUAACCUGCCCUUAUCUGUGUGGGAACUUCACGGAACUGGGGCGAAUACCGGGGAGAAGCUUCUGCUCCGUGUUGUGGGUAGGAAAGUGUCGGCGUUUGGGGAUGGACUGGCGGCUUAUCAGCUUGUUGGUGGGGUAGUGGCGUACGAAGGCUUUGAAGGGUAGCCGGCAUGAGAGGGUGAACGGCGACCUUGGGACUGCGAUACGGCCCAGAAUGCUAUGGGCGGCAGUAGGGGAGAACCUUGCACAACGGGGCGAAGUGUGAGGUAGCAACGUCGCGUGCGGGAUGCCGUCUUUUGGGUUGUAAACAGAUUUGUAAUGUGCUGAAGAGUGCGUGACGGUACCGGGUCAAGAAGCCACGGCUAACUACGUG
RNAcentral lists this ribosomal RNA (468 nucleotides) under uncultured bacterium. RNAcentral's name for it is "partial 16S ribosomal RNA". It matches the Rfam family "Bacterial small subunit ribosomal RNA", at positions 28 to 507 of the family's 1533-position model. The record is from RNAcentral.